Long non-coding RNA from Cygnus atratus (black swan), 1302 nucleotides. RefSeq lists it as uncharacterized. The transcript is spliced from 5 exons. NCBI's taxonomy places the organism in Eukaryota, Metazoa, Chordata, Aves, Anseriformes, Anatidae. The record is from RefSeq and is a predicted model, not a curated record.
CAAAGAAACGCCAGCAUAAAGCCUGAAGUACCACAGCUGCCAGAAACACCGAGCCUGGAAGUUCAGAGUUAACUUAAAGAUCGACUCCACCGUUUAUAAAAUAUUCCGAACGUGCCGUUAAACUGCUCACACAGCCAUAACUUUGCUCCUCUGCGCUCCAGUUUUCUGUUUGCUCCUCGUACCUAUAACAGUUCUAGAAAUCGCAACAGACGAGAAAAAUUGCAAUGGCAGAGUCAUUGCGUUUCUGUACAAGUUGUGUUGGCCUAGGGAUUUUUCUGAGAAUUACCGAUGGUAUCUUCUGAAGCCAGAAUGGGAGAGCAGUCCAGUCAGGAGUGCAGCCAGAACUCUGAAAGUAAGAGGGCUUGAAAUCAAGAUGCCAGAGAUACAUGUUUCUUGGACCCGAAGGCAAAGUUAGUAUGUCUGGUGUCUACAGUUUCACCAUUAGCUUCCUCUGUGUUAACUGGAAUAAUUUAAAACUUCUGCUGGUUCUAAACCAGGAGCAUCAGUGCUGAUGACUGCCAACUCGGUAUUUCUUUAGUUAUGCUCAGAAUACUCUGAAUUAUUCAGUAAACACCCCGUGUCAAAAAUGUCUGGCAAUGGUCCCUUUCAUCCUCUGUCAUCAUUUUGACUACAUCUAACCCACAUUGCAUGGUAGAGACACCCAGCUUAGUUCCAGGCUCAGCAGCACAGAUGGAGCCUGUGAUAAUUCAAUAGUGGUGGUAUUUUGUCUUCAUCUUCAACCGGGAUCUGACAUGUUCUCUGCUUACAGUAGCUGCUGAAGGGAGCUUAGGUUAAUGUGUAUAAUAAUUGGUUCUUUGAACAGUUGGGCACAGUCUCAAUCAGUUCCAGUUUCAGUAUCAGAUUUCUUUUAAUCAGAGAGAAGUACAGUGUUUCUCAGAUGCUCUGAAUGCACUGAAAUUGUUUGGGAAGAAAAUGCUUUUAGCAAUGCAAUGUGGAAGCAAAUGUUCCAUGUUAUAAAUAACAUGUGAUUAGACAAAUACACUAAGCUCAUAGAGCUUAUUUGUGUUGAAUUGUGUCAGGAUGUACUAUGGACUUUUGUGCCCUGAUUCCAAUGAUCUCAUUCUUCUGGGACAGCAUAUAUUUAAGGUAAAACAUACUAGUUUAAAUGUAGCAUAAAUACAUAUAGAAAAUUAACUGUUUUCUUUACCGAAUUCAAAAUCUCUACUACCUAUUAUGUACAACAUGAAAAAAUGAAUCUCUAUUUAGGCCAUUAUUGGUGGCCAAAAAUGUUUUUAAAAUAUUAGAUGUAUCCAGCCCCUCUUUUUUAAAUUUACGUGAUAU